AAAAGGUGGCUAUGCUACCGCUUUUGGAUGGGCCCGCGGCGCAUUAGCUAGUUGGUGGGGUAAAGGCUUACCAAGGCAAUGAUGCGUAGCCGAACUGAGAGGUUGAUCGGCCACAUUGGGACUGAGACACGGCCCAAACUCCUACGGGAGGCAGCAGUAGGGAAUCUUCCACAAUGGGCGAAAGCCUGAUGGAGCAACGCCGCGUGGGUGAAGAAGGUCUUCGGAUCGUAAAACCCUGUUGUUAGAGAAGAAAGUGCGUGAGAGUAACUGUUCACGUUUCGACGGUAUCUAACCAGAAAGCCACGGCUAACUACGUGCCAGCAGCCGCGGUAAUACGUAGGUGGCAAGCGUUAUCCGGAUUUAUUGGGCGUAAAGGGAACGCAGGCGGUCUUUUAAGUCUGAUGUGAAAGCCUUCGGCUUAACCGGAGUAGUGCAUUGGAAACUGGGAGACUUGAGUGCAGAAGAGGAGAGUGGAACUCCAUGUGUAGCGGUGAAAUGCGUAGAUAUAUGGAAGAACACCAGUGGCGAAAGCGGCUCUCUGGUCUGUAACUGACGCUGAGGUUCGAAAGCGUGGGUAGCAAACAGGAUUAGAUACCCUGGUAGUCCACGCCGUAAACGAUGAAUGCUAAGUGUUGGAGGGUUUCCGC
This 647-nucleotide ribosomal RNA is filed under the name uncultured bacterium. Its description in RNAcentral is "bacterial SSU rRNA". It matches the Rfam family "Bacterial small subunit ribosomal RNA", at positions 202 to 837 of the family's 1533-position model. The record is from RNAcentral.